CGGUUAUAAACACAAAUACUGCUCAUAGGCGCAGCAGAACAUAACUUCAGGACAGUUAACCUCACAACACACGACUGAUUCCAAAGGCACUUUCUAAGACUGUUUACAGAAGACACAGCUGUCAGAACCAAUCACAAACCGUGAGGGCCCGUGUCUGUCUGACAAUGUAAGUCUACGGUAUAUCUUAUCUGAUGAGUCGUUACACACUGUAAAUUUGAAUAUGCCAAGCCAUAUCAUAACUGAUUACGGCAGGACAUCUGACCUCAAGCAAAGUGUGUAAAGCUAUAACACCGUUUAAAAGUUUGGGGUUGGUAAGACUUUUGAAUGUUUGAGUCUCUUAUGUUCACCAAGGCUACAUUUAUAUGAUAAAAAUACAGCACAAACAGUAAUAUUAUGACAUAAUUACAAUUUAAAAUAAUUGUUUCAUUUAAAUAUAUUUAAAAUGUAAUUUAUUCCUGUGAUCAAAGCUGAUUUUUCAGCAUCAUUUCUCCAGUCUUCAGUGUCACAUGAUCCUUCAGAAAUCAUUCUAAUAUGAUGAUUUGAUGCUCAAGAAACAUUUCUGAUUAUUAUCAGUAUUGAAAACAGCGUGGAAACUGAUCAUUUUUUAAGGAUUCUGUGAAUAGAAAAUAACAAAAUAACAAAACUAAAAUAGCUAUUUGAAAUAGAAAUCUUUUGUAACAUUAUAAAUUGUUUUUACUGUCACUUUUGAUAAAAAAAAAAAAAAAUCUUACUAACAAUAUUGUACUCAAGCAUACAGACGAUGAAAGUUUCGGGAAAAAGUUCUUAUUAAUUACUUUCUAUACUAUUAAUAAUUACUUGAAAAUGCAUUGUUUAAUUAAUUGUGAGAUACUUAAAAGCUUCAUGCCAUUGUUUUAGUUUAGUUUAAUCUUUACAGAAUAUUAAAUGUUAAUAUAAAAUAAACUAAAUUAAUCUAAUAUUAAUACAGGUAUUCAAUGCAUCUCUUGUCAGUAUAGUAACACAAUACAACAUCACAGUCACUAUUAUCAUCAGAAACAGUACAUAAGAUUACCAAAUAAAACCACCAGUGAGUCACAAUAUAAAACCACCCAGCAUCAGAGACAGCCAAUCAAAGCGAUGAAAUCGAAAUGUUAUGAUCAGCCACUCACCUUAAGAGUUAGAGUCGGAUUAAGACAGGUAAUGACACCGCUGGUGAGAUCUACUUGACUUUUGGCUGGUUAUAAAUAUGAAUAUGAAGCCUGACUGAAAGUUUCAAAACUUCUACUUCCGUAAACGGAGGUGGUUGUGGUGUAGGCUAAAUACUGCAUGGGGUGUGAGUUUUUGUUUGCACUCUAUACUGUUUACCAAAAACACACUGUAGAGUUUGGAAAUUGUUCUUUUUUAUUAACAGACCGUUUUUAAAAUCCCAAAACCUUCAGCAUGUAAAGUUUGUGCUGAAAUGACUGAGACAGUCAGGUAUGUUUUAACCAAAAAUAAAGACCCAACCACACAUGGGCCUUGUAGCGGCAACACACUCUGCACUCAUUACAGCAGCGUCCCAGAUUAUAAAAUUUUAAGAAUCACUCUAAGCCAAUCUGUUGAUGCAUACUGUCCUUGUUUCUGGGUCAUUUUAAGGGCUCAGAAAUUCCCAGCUCUCCCUGAAGGCAGCAUCACGUGACACGCAUGGCUUAAUCAAGCCAGUGGGCAACAAGUUAUCAAGCCUUCUGUUGUCACCCUGAGGCUGAACUUGUCUUCGCUGCGUACUGCACAUUAAAAACUACAGCGACAGACACUGAGCCCAAUAACAGCAGGUUCUGAUUCGCCCUGGAUCACCUUGUUGUGUCCUAACUCAAAGCAUAUGACGUCACCACACAGAGCAGGAGCUAGUGAGUCAUCUGAUGCACACCCAAACUGUGUCUGUGCGUCCAUAUGUCUGGAGCGUGGCAUUCCCUCUCCCUCAGGCGUGCUGAAUUAUACAGCAUAACUGCACUCGUGAGCAGACCGGCUCCGAGCUCUUGCCUGCUGGAAGCUUCUGUUGUCCUACUGAGCAUUUGAGUCAAAAUUUGUAAAAAUCAAGAAGGAUUUUCAAUGCUGAAUACCCUCUGACGGCGAUGUUUGCAUCAGGGGUUCUGCUUCAUAUGGACCCAAACUGGGGUUUCAGAGUCCACAGCAAUCCUCUAAGACAGUUGUUCUCAACCUGCAGCCCGUCACGAAUGCAAAUGUGGCCCACAUUUAAAAAAUAAAUUCCAGUUUUACAAUUUAUUUUUGUUUUUAAAUUAAAUUAAAAUGGGUUAAAUGAAUAUUUGUUUGAACUAUAAUGUUUGUCAUAUAAAAACAUUUUGGUGAUCAUAUAUUAUUUUCAGACAUGCGCAGACCUACUAUAUACUGACGAACGAACACUUACAAGCACGUGCUUUGGCAUUCCAAUAUUAGCCAUUGUUUUUGUAAAUUUAGGGAUUAAAAUGGACAAAUUUGUUAUUUGAGGAGAAAACCGAAAUGAGGAACAUACCAAUGAAGAAACAAGAAGAGUCGUAGUAUCAGCAGUGAAGGUAAGAAGAACGGAAGAAUCAGUUUGCUGUCAAUGAGCGAGAUGGGCAGCCUUUGUUUGCUCUGUAGUAAAGUACUUGGCAUAUGCAAAACCUACAAUGUCAAAAGACAUGUGAAUUCGAUGUGUUUGUUUGAUGUACUUGUAUUUUAAAUUGAUAAAAAUAACCACAUCGACACACUGUGCGAGGGAUUGCGACGUGACAGAAUGCUUGAUAUCGUCAGAGAUUGUAAUUGCAAUGCAAUGUUUGUAAAAAGAGUUGAGUAACAUUUGCUUAUUAAAAGGUGUUUGUGGCCAAUAAAACAUUCUGUCAUUGUUUGGUGACUGUUACGAUGCUGUUGAAGAGAAUUUAUAUCCAGAGUUAAAUAGUAAAGUGCUUGUAUGUUCAUUGAGCAUUAUUAUCUGAUUACUGUAAUGCUAAUGUCAGUAGUUAGCUUUUAUUUGGUGGAAUACAUUGUUCUCAUUUUCUGUGACAUACUGUAUAUCAGGGGAUUGUGUAAUGUGAGUUUAUUGAACGAGAGUUUCAUUUUGAUAUGAAGAAGUCACACUGCCAGCCAUUUCAAUACAUUGUGAAACAAAAACACACUGUGAAACAAAGAAGAGCUUCUUAUAGUAUUUGUUGAUUUUGCAGAGUGUGACAGACCAUAGCGCGGCCCACUGGGAAAAAAGGUUGAGAAACACUGCUCUAAGACAAUGCUGAAGGAAUACUUUAUGCAGUCAAUUACAGUAUAAAAAGAAGGCACGAUAAGUCAUGCCAACAUGAAAUGCCAUGAUAAUGAUACGCCAAUGCGUUCGUAAAAUAUAGCAUUUUGCUACAAAAUUAAAAAUUGGCUGAUAAAGGAAAAUUGGUAAUUGUUUGACUUGGCAUGCUGCACCGAAUCUAAAGAGACCAGUUUUGUGAUUUUUGGCCAAAUCGUUCAGAAGUUAUAAGCAAAAAUAGCCAUUUUUUUUGUAGGUGGCGCAGCGCCGAAACGCAGCAUGUAACCUCAGGUCAUGCUUGUGAUGACAUGGACCAAGUUUAGUCUGAAUACGAUAAAGCACUGCGGAGAUACAGCCUUACGUCUAUUUUCACAAACGUUACGUAAAAUUCAUUCCCGCAUUAUUCAAGAAUGGUAUGAAGAAACGACUUGAAAUCCAUUAGUUUUUGUCGGCAUGGUCUGAAGAUGGUCCGUUUCCAUUUUCAUGUAAAUGUGACGUUACGUGACAUAUCCCAGAUAGCAUGCAGUAAUCGGCCCGAGCUCUGCUGCCCCACGGCGCCUGCGGCUCAGACCCGGCAUCGGCGUGUGUUAACCGGGCCGAUUGUGGCCCGCAGCUCACUCUGGCACAUGUAUAUUUAUUACGACUGUAAAGCACUGGGCCGAUUCUUGUUCACCGUAACUGGCCCAACUCUGGCUAUAGAGAUCUGGCCACUUCUGGCAAUGACUCGGCUUAUGUUCACUCACAGAUGGUUACAUAAGCAAUAAUUAACAUAAAAUUGUCUUAAAAUUGACUUUGUUUCCUGGUAGUAUCUGAUAUGAAAUAACUAACGUUACACGUUUAAUGUAGCGAAUUUGUCAAAAACAACAUAUCUGCGGUAAAACCUAAUAUAAUAAAAGUGCCGUAUAAGACAGAACAUUCUCUAAUAUGCAUAAUAUCAAAUCUAUUUAUAAGUAAUGUAGCAAUUCAUUCUUUUAUACGCUUUUAUGUAUUUUAAACGUGCUUCACUGCACUCUCAGGUGAUUCAUUCAUCUUCACUCGCGCGGCGGUGGGUGGGGUCUUGUACCUGUGGUAGUGGGUGAUAUCCGCCAUGUUUGUACGGUUUGGAGCGGACGUGAGCAAAAACAAUGGAUUAUUUACCAAGAGAUAUUAAUGUAUGAGGUCAUUUCGACAAAACAGUUCUGGUAAGCAUCGACACACAUUUACAUUUGUAGUAUUUUUACUUCGCAGACACUUAUAAAGGAACUUGCUAAAAGUUAACUUCACGUGACUGACACGAACGUGGCUUUCUUGGCUUGUCUACAAAGUUUCGGUAUGCCACCUACAGCUAAUAAACGGACAAAAUCUUUUUCAUCUUUGAUCUAAGCAUUGUUAUGUGGAUCUCGAUUGUUUACGCUGACGAGCAACACUCCAAUCUGCAAACAAAGAGCUGAGGAAGAUGAUGAUGACGGUCCUGCAUACACGAGAAGAAAGAGCAGGUUUGUUUGUUUGGUUUUUAGUUUCCACACUUAUAUAGGUUUUAUAAAUGCAAUUGUAAUAAGCAAAAGUUGUUUUAUUCCAUGUUUCUUCAAGAAGGUGAGUGAAGAGGAUUUGUUUAUAGCCUACUAUCAUAGAAGAUCAUUGUUUUCAAAUAACCUCAAUUAACUAAAUACAUAAGCUAGUUUGACUGAUUUUUUUGUUAUGAUGAGAAUGUACUGCAAUCCUAUGCAUUAGUAUGUCUGAGAUCAUCUUCAGUUGCAGAUUUUACAUUUACAGAUGCUCAUGACUGCUAAAACAUGGACAACACAAACACAGCAUCACAGCUUUUGUUGCUACUAGCUGCUUCUUCACUCAGCAUGUUAAGACGCAAAGGAAUAAGUGAUUAUUUCUCAUAACAUAAAUUGCUUUUAAUAUUUCUCUGUUUUGUAGUAAUCAAGAGAAAUGUUAUCAUUGCUGAAGAAAUGGCAGAUUUUAAUGCCCAGACACUGAGCAGUGCAAGCCCUGAAGAAAUAAGACUAUGGACAUCAUCUUUAUUCUACUUCUCUGACUGAACUAGUAAGGAGCUGUUGGAGCCAAUGAGAAAGCUGGCUGAACUGUAUGCUUACUGAAGAGUGAGCCUCAAAACUUAAGGUUUGUACAAAGUUACUCCAUAUCGCUGAAAAUGGCACACAUCAAGAUUUCAGAGACUCUGCGUGACAUUUUAAAUGUUUAUGAUCUUCAGGCGAGUUGAAAUUUGUCAACAGUAACUACUUCCAUCACUGUCUUCACUGUAUAUAAAAUUAAGUUGGCUUGCUUGUUUAACAUGUUAAUUUUUGCUUGAGUUUGAAGGGUGUGCAUGAUGUCAGCAUGAAAUGCACUGUAGCCCUCCAUGCUCCUCAGUUUACCUGUGAGGAGGACCCACAAUUCUUCAAGACUUGAAGUGAGGUGUUGGGAGAGCCAGACAUCACUGAUUUUGUCAUUGUGGUCAACGAAAGAACAAGUCCUUCAAGCACUGCAGUUGUUAUAGAAGAUGAUCUUUAGUUUUAGCAUGUUCGGAAGCACUUCUUCACAGUCACAGGGUUUUAAAAAUAAAAGACUAAUCUUCAAAAAAAAAUCUUCAAUUGUACAGCUUAAGGUUUAUUUUAUUUAUUUUAGUCUUUUUGUUACUGUUGUUUGUUUGUUUUUUUAGUUAGUAUUUUUAAGUAAUAAAGUACUGCAGAGGUGCCCGAUCCUGUUCCUGGAGAUCAACCAGAUUGCAGAGUUCAGCUAAGUUAUUCAGCUAAUUAUUUUGCUAAGUACAAAAUGUGUUUAACAGCAAAACUUUUUCCAUUUAACAAUGUGUUUAAAACAUUUUUUUUUUUUUUAAGUAUGCCUAUACUUAUUAAAUUUUACAGUCUGUGUAUAAGUAAAUACUGGUGUAUAAUUUUUCAAAAUGUGGUAAAUAUUUUAUUUACAGUAAUUGUAUAACAACUGCUGUUAUUUGAUGUAAUAUAGUUUUGUAAUUGUUUUGUAAAUAAAACGUCUUCAUGCCAACCAGAUCAAGUGAGUUCUUUACAAAUGGACAUAUAUUUGCUUUCAUAAUAAUGUGAUGUUUGUAUAGAUUUAAGUAAUGUUAUUUAUGUAUUAUAAUUUAUAUAAUUAAAAUGUAAGUAAAUGUUUUGGCUGGGUAUCAAAUUUAAAUGAAAAAUGUAUGAACAGUAUGGUAAACGGGGCUGGGCCGUGCCUGGCGUGCUGUGCGCAUUAGUGACGGCCCGAUACCGGCUUGAUUGAGGCAGUGUUGGCAAGGUAACGGCUGCCGUGUCUGGCCCGAUUGAUUCAGGCCGGAAUCGGGCAGUGAGUACACAAGCAUCCGGCCCGAUCACUGCAGACAGAAGCGGGGCGAGUGGUAAGUCUCCGGCAGGCGAGAAUCUAACCGAAACUGGGCAGAGUGUAUUUUGCUAUCUGGGAUUGUUUACAGGCUGUUUUAUUGAUGUCUUUGAGCGAUGACAUGAGACAUGAUGCAGAUUUCGGUAAGUUGUACUCUAUCUUUAAACAUACCUUCUGAUGUUCAUUCAUGUUUAUUUUGUGUUGUAACUAGUAAAGCAGAAUAGAUAAUCAGGUCAAGUGCCACUUCUUUUUAACUGAGGCGCUACAGCGAUCUGUCACGCCACAUUAAACAGCGCCAAAACGGUAAUUAUUUUUUUAAUUUUGAAAUAAAAUUGACAUAAUUUGAAAUCUGAGACAUUGUUUCAUUUCAAAAGUAACAAAGCACAAAGAUUAUUGCGAUUUAUUGGAUGGGAUGAGCGCUACAAUGUUCCGUUCAUUCAUUAACUGAAAACAGGAUAGACUAAUCGAUUCUUGGGAUUUAAGAAUCGAUAUCAGUUCAUGAAAAUGAGAAUCGAUUAAAAUCAAGAAAUCUAUAUUUUUACCCAGCCCUACAACUAGGGCUGCAUGAUCAGUGGAAAUAAGUUGCAAAAUGGCUUAGUGAGAUCAUGAAAUCACAAAGACUGUGAUUUAAUUAAACACAUGCACUGCAUGUUUCACUGUGUUCUUUUACACGUGAGCUGCUCAGUUUUUUCAGUCUUCCACAGUGGUCUGAUUUUUAAUAUAUGCUGCUCCAUGAACAAUCUCUGCAUUUGAGUUGCUUAUAACGUGCAAAACAAGCAGUGCAAACCAGGAGAAAAAUACAUUUAAAAUCACAAUUAGAUUUUUCCCCAAAUCGUACAGCCCUAACAUAGCAAUAUCAGGAAGGGACAUGAUGCAACUUUCUAUAAAGCACUGUUCAUCCCCUGAGGACAUUAGUGCCAUCUCAAACGGAUGAUUUAAACUUUUACAAGAAUGCAAGCUUCACAUUUCUACUUUUACACCCUUUUAGCUGCUACACUUCCAUAUUGAGUGUGUUAAGUUAAUGAAUUAGAAAA
Molecule: long non-coding RNA, 7557 nt
Organism: Ctenopharyngodon idella (grass carp)
Lineage: Eukaryota; Metazoa; Chordata; Actinopteri; Cypriniformes; Xenocyprididae
Exons: 4
Source: RefSeq, a predicted model, not a curated record